This 273-nucleotide long non-coding RNA is filed under the name Mytilus galloprovincialis (Mediterranean mussel). Lineage: Eukaryota; Metazoa; Mollusca; Bivalvia; Mytilida; Mytilidae. The record is from RNAcentral.
GGUGCCUUUUAUAGGUGACUAUGAGGUAUGACCUUUGCUCAUUGUUGAAGACCGUAUUGUGACCUAUAGUUGUUAAUUCCUGUGUCAUCUGAUCUCUUGUGGAGAGUUCUCAUUGGCACUCAAGCCAUAUUAGGUAAAGGGUGGGGAUCCCGUUAACGAAUUUAACCCCGCCUUAUUCUGUAUGUAUGUGCCUGUCCCAAGUCAGGAGCCUGUAAUUCAGUAAUUGUCGUUUGUUUAUGUGUUACAUAUUUGUUUUUUGUACAUAAAUUAUGC